This 79-nucleotide non-coding RNA is filed under the name unclassified sequences. The record is from Rfam.
GAAGCCCUGCACGCUGUGAAGUCCCAGGUUCCACCUGGGAUACGAAACUACAGAAAUUUCAUAGCAGCUGCGGGGCUUU